Long non-coding RNA from Sarcophilus harrisii (Tasmanian devil), 1035 nucleotides. RefSeq lists it as uncharacterized. The transcript has 2 exons. Lineage: Eukaryota; Metazoa; Chordata; Mammalia; Dasyuromorphia; Dasyuridae. The record is from RefSeq and is a predicted model, not a curated record.
CGCCGUUUCCCACGUAAACUGGGGCCAGCCGCCAUUUUAGAGCCAGCCAGAGUCGCCCGCUCGCCCGCCCGGGGCCAGCCCGAAGCUGCGGCCGCCCGGCCCGCCAGGGAGACUCGUCGCUGCCCCUGGCUACGCCGAGGCCUCCAGGCACGUGCUGGCCACGGGCAUUUUCCAGCCCCGGGCCCCGGACCACGAGGCCCGCACCGGGCCCGACCCCCAAGAGCCAAACCGGGGCCCAACUGACGAGGCGACGGGAGGAGGCGGCGGUGCUCGCCGGCCCCCUCCUGCCGGAGCCUCCAGCACCCCAGGGGAAGGUGAAAGUCACGGCGGGGGCUGGGGGUCUGCCCCGAGGCCAAGGGGGCUCCGGAAGGGCCUCCCCAGGCACGAUGUCUGUUCACACGCGGGGCCGCGUCUGAGCGCGCUCCCGAGCAAGAGUUCCCAUCUCCGAAGCAGCGACUCCCCACUAAUCAAUGAUCCUCCAUUUACGAGGCCCCGAGCAGCUCGGCGAGGCUGCUUCCAUUUCCUGAUCCGAGCUGCUCAUGUGCGAGCAACCGACUCUGUUUUUCCCAUGGUGACUCACUAAUCAGGACGCUCCACAAUUUUCCUACACUCAUGAAACCCAAACAGUGGCAGAAGGGAUUUAGAGAACGAGUCUGGAAAGGGAGGGGGAAGUGAAUGGCCUUGAAAAUAGGGACUAUCAAGAUCUCUUCCAGACAAUUUGGAAUUUUUCAUCAAUUGUUCCUGACUAAAAUAGCUUGGCAAUGCAAAUCACAAAUCUUAUCCCGGGCUCCCAAUCUCCAACCACUUACGGUACCUGUCUCUGUCACAAAGAAAAGGGAUGUUAAAAUGCCACCUGACACAUGAAACGUGCAUUAGAAGCAAACUUCAUAUGUUUAACAAAUAAAACUCUUUGGAGAGCGGAUUACAUCUUCUCAUCAGAGCCAAGCAUUCCUUAACCAUUUAAGGUAAAAGGUUCCCAACCGUCCAGCAGCUUGGUCCAUUCUCGGAUUCCCAGUUCCAAGGUUUCUCUCAGCA